GGUUAAGCGACUAAGCGUACACGGUGGAUGCCCUGGCAGUCAGAGGCGAUGAAGGACGUGCUAAUCUGCGAUAAGCGUCGGUGAGGUGAUAUGAACCGUUAUAACCGGCGAUUUCCGAAUGGGGAAACCCAGUGUGAUUCGUCACACUAUCAUUAACUGAAUCCAUAGGUUAAUGAGGCGAACCGGGGGAACUGAAACAUCUAAGUACCCCGAGGAAAAGAAAUCAACCGAGAUUCCCCCAGUAGCGGCGAGCGAACGGGGAGGAGCCCAGAGCCUGAAUCAGUGUGUGUGUUAGUGGAAGCGUCUGGAAAGGCGUGCGAUACAGGGUGACAGCCCCGUACACAAAAAUGCACAUAUUGUGAGCUCGAUGAGUAGGGCGGGACACGUGGUAUCCUGUCUGAAUAUGGGGGGACCAUCCUCCAAGGCUAAAUACUCCUGACUGACCGAUAGUGAACCAGUACCGUGAGGGAAAGGCGAAAAGAACCCCGGCGAGGGGAGUGAAAAAGAACCUGAAACCGUGUACGUACAAGCAGUGGGAGCCUCUUAAUGGGGUGACUGCGUACCUUUUGUAUAAUGGGUCAGCGACUUAUAUUCUGUAGCAAGGUUAACCGAAUAGGGGAGCCGAAGGGAAACCGAGUCUUAACUGGGCGUUAAGUUGCAGGGUAUAGACCCGAAACCCGGUGAUCUAGCCAUGGGCAGGUUGAAGGUUGGGUAACACUAACUGGAGGACCGAACCGACUAAUGUUGAAAAAUUAGCGGAUGACUUGUGGCUGGGGGUGAAAGGCCAAUCAAACCGGGAGAUAGCUGGUUCUCCCCGAAAGCUAUUUAGGUAGCGCCUCGUGAAUUCAUCUCCGGGGGUAGAGCACUGUUUCGGCAAGGGGGUCAUCCCGACUUACCAACCCGAUGCAAACUGCGAAUACCGGAGAAUGUUAUCACGGGAGACACACGGCGGGUGCUAACGUCCGUCGUGAAGAGGGAAACAACCCAGACCGCCAGCUAAGGUCCCAAAGUCAUGGUUAAGUGGGAAACGAUGUGGGAAGGCCCAGACAGCCAGGAUGUUGGCUUAGAAGCAGCCAUCAUUUAAAGAAAGCGUAAUAGCUCACUGGUCGAGUCGGCCUGCGCGGAAGAUGUAACGGGGCUAAACCAUGCACCGAAGCUGCGGCAGCGACACUAUGUGUUGUUGGGUAGGGGAGCGUUCUGUAAGCCUGUGAAGGUGGCCUGUGAGGGUUGCUGGAGGUAUCAGAAGUGCGAAUGCUGACAUAAGUAACGAUAAAGCGGGUGAAAAGCCCGCUCGCCGGAAGACCAAGGGUUCCUGUCCAACGUUAAUCGGGGCAGGGUGAGUCGACCCCUAAGGCGAGGCCGAAAGGCGUAGUCGAUGGGAAACGGGUUAAUAUUCCCGUACUUGGUGUUACUGCGAAGGGGGGACGGAGAAGGCUAUGUUGGCCGGGCGACGGUUGUCCCGGUUUAAGCGUGUAGGCUGGUUUUCCAGGCAAAUCCGGAAAAUCAAGGCUGAGGCGUGAUGACGAGGCACUACGGUGCUGAAGCGACAAAUGCCCUGCUUCCAGGAAAAGCCUCUAAGCAUCAGGUAACAUCAAAUCGUACCCCAAACCGACACAGGUGGUCAGGUAGAGAAUACCAAGGCGCUUGAGAGAACUCGGGUGAAGGAACUAGGCAAAAUGGUGCCGUAACUUCGGGAGAAGGCACGCUGAUAUGUAGGUGAAGCGACUUGCUCGUGGAGCUGAAAUCAGUCGAAGAUACCAGCUGGCUGCAACUGUUUAUUAAAAACACAGCACUGUGCAAACACGAAAGUGGACGUAUACGGUGUGACGCCUGCCCGGUGCCGGAAGGUUAAUUGAUGGGGUUAGCGGUAACGCGAAGCUCUUGAUCGAAGCCCCGGUAAACGGCGGCCGUAACUAUAACGGUCCUAAGGUAGCGAAAUUCCUUGUCGGGUAAGUUCCGACCUGCACGAAUGGCGUAAUGAUGGCCAGGCUGUCUCCACCCGAGACUCAGUGAAAUUGAACUCGCUGUGAAGAUGCAGUGUACCCGCGGCAAGACGGAAAGACCCCGUGAACCUUUACUAUAGCUUGACACUGAACAUUGAGCCUUGAUGUGUAGGAUAGGUGGGAGGCUUUGAAGUGUGGACGCCAGUCUGCAUGGAGCCGACCUUGAAAUACCACCCUUUAAUGUUUGAUGUUCUAACGUGGGCCCCUUACCGGGGUUGCGGACAGUGUCUGGUGGGUAGUUUGACUGGGGCGGUCUCCUCCUAAAGAGUAACGGAGGAGCACGAAGGUUGGCUAAUCCUGGUCGGACAUCAGGAGGUUAGUGCAAUGGCAUAAGCCAGCUUGACUGCGAGCGUGACGGCGCGAGCAGGUGCGAAAGCAGGUCAUAGUGAUCCGGUGGUUCUGAAUGGAAGGGCCAUCGCUCAACGGAUAAAAGGUACUCCGGGGAUAACAGGCUGAUACCGCCCAAGAGUUCAUAUCGACGGCGGUGUUUGGCACCUCGAUGUCGGCUCAUCACAUCCUGGGGCUGAAGUAGGUCCCAAGGGUAUGGCUGUUCGCCAUUUAAAGUGGUACGCGAGCUGGGUUUAGAACGUCGUGAGACAGUUCGGUCCCUAUCUGCCGUGGGCGCUGGAGAACUGAGGGGGGCUGCUCCUAGUACGAGAGGACCGGAGUGGACGCAUCACUGGUGUUCGGGUUGUCAUGCCAAUGGCACUGCCCGGUAGCUAAAUGCGGAAGAGAUAAGUGCUGAAAGCAUCUAAGCACGAAACUUGCCCCGAGAUGAGUUCUCCCUGACUCCUUGAGAGUCCUGAAGGAACGUUGAAGACGACGACGUUGAUAGGCCGGGUGUGUAAGCGCAGCGAUGCGUUGAGCUAACCGGUACUAAUGAACCGUGAGGCUUAACCUUACAACGCCGAAGAUGUUUUG
This 2924-nucleotide ribosomal RNA is filed under the name Escherichia coli AA86. RNAcentral's name for it is "bacterial LSU rRNA". It matches the Rfam family "Bacterial large subunit ribosomal RNA". The record is from RNAcentral. Lineage: Bacteria; Pseudomonadati; Pseudomonadota; Gammaproteobacteria; Enterobacterales; Enterobacteriaceae.